GACGAACGCUGGCGGCGUGCCUAAUACAUGCAAGUUGAGCGAUGAAGAUUGGUGCUUGCACCAAUUUGAAGAGCAGCGAACGGGUGAGUAACGCGUGGGGAAUCUGCCUUUGAGCGGGGGACAACAUUUGGAAACGAAUGCUAAUACCGCAUAACAACUUUAAACAUAAGUUUUAAGUUUGAAAGAUGCAAUUGCAUCACUCAAAGAUGAUCCCGCGUUGUAUUAGCUAGUUGGUGAGGUAAAGGCUCACCAAGGCGAUGAUACAUAGCCGACCUGAGAGGGUGAUCGGCCACAUUGGGACUGAGACACGGCCCAAACUCCUACGGGAGGCAGCAGCAGGGAAUCUUCGGCAAUGGACGAAAGUCUGGCCGAGCAACGCCGCGUGAGUGAAGAAGGUUUUCGGAUCGUAAAACUCUGUUGGUAGAGAAGAACGUUGGUGAGAGUGGAAAGCUCAUCAAGUGACGGUAACUACCCAGAAAGGGACGGCUAACUACGUG
RNAcentral lists this ribosomal RNA (497 nucleotides) under uncultured bacterium. RNAcentral describes it as "partial 16S ribosomal RNA". It matches the Rfam family "Bacterial small subunit ribosomal RNA", at positions 28 to 507 of the family's 1533-position model. The record is from RNAcentral.